CCUACGGGUGGCAGCAGUGAGGAAUAUUGGUCAAUGGACGCAAGUCUGAACCAGCCAUGCCGCGUGCAGGAUGACGGCUCUAUGAGUUGUAAACUGCUUUUGUACGAGGGUAAACCCCGAUACGUGUAUCGGGUUGAAAGUAUCGUACGAAUAAGGAUCGGCUAACUCCGUGCCAGCAGCCGCGGUAAUACGGAGGAUCCGAGCGUUAUCCGGAUUUAUUGGGUUUAAAGGGUGCGUAGGCGGUUUGAUAAGUUAGAGGUGAAAUGUUGGGGCUCAACCCCGAAACUGCCUCUAAUACUGUUAGACUAGAGAAUAGUUGCGGUAGGCGGAAUGUAUGGUGUAGCGGUGAAAUGCUUAGAGAUCAUACAGAACACCGAUUGUGAAGGCAGCUUACCAAACUAUAUCUGACGUUGAGGCACGAAAGCGUGGGUAGCAAACAGGAUUAGAUACCCGGGUAGUC
This 460-nucleotide ribosomal RNA is filed under the name uncultured bacterium. RNAcentral describes it as "partial 16S ribosomal RNA". It matches the Rfam family "Bacterial small subunit ribosomal RNA", at positions 338 to 795 of the family's 1533-position model. The record is from RNAcentral.